Molecule: long non-coding RNA, 150 nt
Organism: Bradysia coprophila
Lineage: Eukaryota; Metazoa; Arthropoda; Insecta; Diptera; Sciaridae
Source: RefSeq, a predicted model, not a curated record
UGUGAUAUUCAAUUUUCUUCUCACUAGUUUUAGUUUCUCAGUUUUAUAAAAAAGUUUUUUUUAUUACGACCAUUUUAAUGCAGUGUUUCCGAACAACAUGACCUCACAAUCGAUUAUUCAGUUAUAAUUGUAGACAUUUUAUAUGAAAAU